UACGUAGGUCCCGAGCGUUGUCCGGAUUUAUUGGGCGUAAAGGGAACGCAGGCGGUCUUUUAAGUCUGAUGUGAAAGCCUUCGGCUUAACCGGAGUAGUGCAUUGGAAACUGGGAGACUUGAGUGCAGAAGAGGAGAGUGGAACUCCAUGUGUAGCGGUGAAAUGCGUAGAUAUAUGGAAGAACACCAGUGGCGAAAGCGGCUCUCUGGUCUGUAACUGACGCUGAGGCACGAAAGCGUGGGGAGCAAAUAGG
RNAcentral lists this ribosomal RNA (253 nucleotides) under uncultured bacterium. Its description in RNAcentral is "partial 16S ribosomal RNA". It matches the Rfam family "Bacterial small subunit ribosomal RNA", at positions 524 to 776 of the family's 1533-position model. The record is from RNAcentral.